UUGUGCUUUUCACUUGUCCUUUCGCUUCGCUACAAGGAUAUGUAUUUUAAGAGAGUCAGAAUUCGACAAAGGAGGGAGAGCCUGAACCGCGACUAUCUAAACGGAUGUGGCAGAAUAGAGUGAGAAAUCGAAGAGAAAGAACAAUAAAUGAAGAAACAAUGAAAAGGCCAAGCAUUCAUUCAAGAUUCAUGUGUAUACAUUUUGUAGUUCAGCCAAUGCAUGCAUGAGGUAAAAAUUGAGUUUUCUCUGAGAACACUAACUGGUAAAUGGAUAACGCCAGAUAAGUGCAGGUAAUCGUCGUAUUAAAUAUACAGCUGGAAGACAACCUGGAUUUACAGCAUCACAAAACUUGUCUAAACAUUGACUCCUCUCAGAAAGCAACAGCUUAUGAAACACUCCUAUGAAGAAAAUACCAACAAUUUAAGGUCUUCUGGAGGGCACAUAUCACCUUGGGAUACGGGACUUUGGCAAAAGGCAUUAACUGACGAAAUUGGAGGUUGCACUUGUCACAUGUGCCCACACAUUGUAACUUAACCAGAAAGUGGAAAAGGAAGUGGUAUCUUCCUCCUCUGGCACCCAUAUUCCCUCCUCCUUGGAAAUCUGAGCAUCUGCCAUGUCAACUGUUGCAUACGGGUAGGG
This is a non-coding RNA of Struthio camelus australis, 639 nucleotides long. The record is from RefSeq and is a predicted model, not a curated record. Lineage: Eukaryota; Metazoa; Chordata; Aves; Struthioniformes; Struthionidae.